AUUGGUCUUCUACAAGUGUGGGUUGCAGGAUAUAAUUGUUAGGAGUUUGUACCAAAUCUGUACUCUGUACAUGGAGUCAGGACUGGAUGUGGAUCUGAAUCUGGUUUGGACAUGAAGCUCCCUAUGGUCAGUUUCCCAUGUUUGGUCACAUUGGUUUACUGGAUCCCUCAUCUGUGCUCGGUGACAAAAGAUUUGAGUGGCUAUACCUUAAAUUCUUCGAUAUGUCUUAUACUAUAAUGGUUCGUCAGUAUUAGUGUCCCUUGAUAUGAGGUGGAUUCUCGUUUGUUCUCGUUGUAAAAGCUGAUCUCGCUUAUGGUAUGUGUUUGUGCUCCUUGAGAUGCAGGAUGUUGUGGAGUGAUGAAUGAAAGGAUCGAGGUUUGCUUUGCUGUUCGUGGUUAUUUUGAUUAGUUAUGGCUCAAUGGAUGGUUAUAAGCUAGGAUCUUGUGCGCUGAAGUAUUCGUUCUGGAUUGAGGCUGUGGAUUGGAUAGUUAACCAUGGGAUGGGGAUCAGAGAAUUUCUGAACAGUGUUUAUAAUCGAUCCUCCUCGAUUUAGUUUCUUUGCUUGCACAGUCAAAUUUAGCUUACAACAUCUCUGAUAUGGAUUGUUCUCCAGCUAUUGGACUUAUGGGGGCUUUCCGGAAGGUGCCCUGCAUGUUACAGACGGUUUCUUCUGUUGACUUCAAUCUUUCCAGAUUUGCUUUGAACAUUGUCCUUCCUAUAGUUUUCUCUGCCCUUGGUAACUAUGUGACCUUGCAGAUAUUGACAUGGAUGAGAGAAUUUAGUUUGCUAUUUGGUACUGGGGUUGUUGCCUAACUGAUCUCUCCCAGACAAGCAGGCUUAUCCUAUCACCUCAAUGUUUUGAUGCAUUAUAUAGCUGUUUUAAGUAGUUUCGUCUCCCCAAAGCAAAAAAUCAUGGGAAGGUCUCUUGGUCGUUGCAGGUCCUAAUUGACUAUUUAGGUCCAACCUGGUGCGGAGUUAUCUGUUUGAAGAUCUUCUAAACCCUACACCUUUCCAAUUCAUUGCGAUUUGUUCAACAUAUAAAUUAUCUUAUGGAGACAAUUUGAACAUUCAGACUGAUUUGGUGGAUGUGUAAGAUUAAGGUUUCUCUAGGGCUUUAGUCUAGAUGGGACCUACACCGGCAAAAUUCAGUGCUCUCUACAACCGAAAAGUUAUCUUAAGAUGGUUAUCUCCUGAAGAAACUUCUGUUCUCUUGGUUGCCUUUUGCUUGUAGGCUGUAGCAUUGAUUGUAUUUUUUCCUCCUGCCUUCCUGUGAUUGCAGCCAUGAUGGUAGCCAUUCAAAAUAUGUUACCUUUUUGGUUUAUGAUCCUCUCUAUGGUUUACUUUGUUAUAUCUGUACUCCACAUCCAUGUGCUUCUGUUGGUCUGUUGGCCUGGUGGGCUUGUUCUUUGCAGUAUAUGAUGGAAUUAGUGGGUGUGCCCUGUAGAGUCAUCUCAGUGUCUGCUCUGCUCUGAAUGCAAAAGUUAGCUUUGUUCCUCUUUUCUCCAAUCUCCAAUGGCUAAUCAACGAUCCUGUCUGUCACGUAAUACAAGGUGAAUUUUAUCUCGUUUAUGUAUGCGCCUUUGUUCCUUUAGAUUCAAGACAGUGGAGAUCGUAUUGAAGGGUAGAGGUUUGAGUGAUUCAUGGUUGUUAUUUAGCUCUUCGGAUGAUAUCUUAAGUUUGGGAUAGUAAUUAUUGGUCAUGCCUGCAUGGUUGAGGAUUCAUAAGUGUCUUGAGGCAUGACUGGAGUAUUUGGAUAUAUUCUCCUCCUGUUUGAUUUCUCCAUGUGAGAAUUUGGUUCCUGUUCUGAGUAUUACUUGGAUUUUUGGUUGUUCUCCAGCAUUUGAGCGUAGGCUUGCCCUGACUACUUCCUGAUUUGAUCUUGUCCAACUUCUCUCUGUUAACUUAUAGCAUUCCAAACAUGUUCUUUCUUGUCAGUAGCUUUUAGUUCCAUGCGAAUGUGGCAUGCAGUGAGAAUAAUUCAAACCAAUGUGCAUAUAACUUAACUAAACCAGGCUUAUCCCCAUCUCCUUGCUAGUUUUGAUGUUUCAGUUUUCUCCAAAAUGGUUACGCAUCAUGUCUUCUGUUCGUUGCUGCGUGAAGAGGUUUUAUUGGAAGCUUGUAGAGUUGGAAAAUCUAGCACUACGUCAGUUGAUGCGGGGACUUGGUCAAGCUAAUGGAUUGUCUGCUUCCUGGCAGUUUGACUUCUGAUAAUCUUGAUCUUGAGACAUGGUUUGGUCUUUGUGGCAGCUUUCAGUUUGAACUUGCAUUCAGUGGUAGUUUGGAGUUAGUAGUGUGCGCAUCUCAUUUUCCAACCGUCCUGAAGCAUCUUACUUGGUUUCUGCUUCAACUUGCAUGUGGUUUGGACAGAAUAUGAUCUCAUCUUUUGCUCCGAAUCAACAAAAUGCUAGAAGUAAUGAUGUCCUAACUGGAAAUUCCUUCAUUAGUCUCAAACAAGGGUUCAACAAUGGAAAUAUCAGUUCAUACUAAUUACUACUUGGUUGCCGUACUGUUUCUGGAAGUUGGGUUUUAAUAUUAGGCUGCUAUCUAUAAUUUUAUCUCUAGCGUCUUGCAGAUUUAUUACCUAAUACAUGUAUAUGAGCUCUGAAUGCAGUAAAAGACUUGUCGGGCUACUAUUCUACAUAUUCUUGUCCACACUUGGUUUGUUUAUUUAACUAUUUUCCUGGCGAGUUCUUUUGGAUCAUCUUAUGACGCACAAUCAAUUUUGGAUGUGCACAGAUUUCUAACUUCGGUGAUAAAGAAAGAUCCCACCUAGUUUGCUGGCUCUCUCACUUGAGUUGGUUUAACAGUUAGGUAAUGUUGAUGACUUGAUAUGCAGAGAAGAGGCUAAGGAAUUAUUGCCAUGUACUAAAACAAUGGAGAGUUGAAGCUUCUAAACUGGAAGCUUGAAUAAAUAGUUUGCCCUGAACACUACUCCUGAUUUCUUAGAUUACUGUCAUCUCAACUAAUUAUGUUACCGGUUUGGUGGUACGGAAUUGAUUUUCAGAAAAUGAUGUUCUUCUCAUUGGUGCUUCUCCAGUGGGAUCUGGAUUACAUCACACUAUGCAUCUUCUCGGUUUGCUGGGGAACUUCCUAGUUUUAAUAUGACAACUAGCAAAACAGUCUGGCUAAUUUCAUGAUUCCUGCUGAUUUUGUACUUUCAACUCAAGUAGCUCACGUUCCUGGAUUAAAGACAAAAAUGCGUUCACACAUACAUGAUUCCUGCUGAUUGUCUAACUUUCAACUCAAGUAGCUCACAUUCCUGGAUUAAAGACAAAAAUGCUUUCACACAUACCUUCUUCUGAUGUCUAAUCUGAUCUGGUUUAUGGGAUCUUCAACUACAUAUUCUCAAAUCUUUAAUUACAUAUAAUAUUGGUUUUCUGUGAACUCCCUAAUUUCAAUUUCCUUGGCAACUAGCAAAAAUACUAAUGAUUACUGCCAAUUGCAUAGCUUAUCUCCAGUUAUACAUAGGCCACACAUUAUAUUUCAUAGUCUGGAUUUUUAGGUCACAAAAGUAUCUCCUUUGACCCUCUAAUGGGAUAAAACUGUGAAAGAUAAUCAUCCUCCAGAUGUUGGUAUAUAUUCUUAUUUUCAAGAUUAAAGGUUUGAAUCACCCUCACCCCACUA
Long non-coding RNA from Hordeum vulgare subsp. vulgare (domesticated barley), 3624 nucleotides. RefSeq lists it as uncharacterized. The record is from RefSeq and is a predicted model, not a curated record. Lineage: Eukaryota; Viridiplantae; Streptophyta; Magnoliopsida; Poales; Poaceae. The transcript has 2 exons.